AUAAUCACUUGUUCUUUAAAUGAGGACUUGUAUCAAUGGCAUCACGAGGGUUAUACUGUCUCCUUUUUCCAAUCAGUGAAACUGAUCUUUCCGUGAAGAAGCGGAAAUUUUUCUAUAAGACGAGAAGACCCCAUGGAGCUUAAAACCCAAGUGCACUCCUAUUAACUACUUCCACUUAAAUUAUGGAUUUUUGUAUACUUGGUUUUAGGUUGGGGUGACCGC
This 222-nucleotide ribosomal RNA is filed under the name Mantella betsileo. RNAcentral's name for it is "partial 16S ribosomal RNA". It matches the Rfam family "Bacterial large subunit ribosomal RNA", at positions 1961 to 2286 of the family's 2925-position model. Lineage: Eukaryota; Metazoa; Chordata; Amphibia; Anura; Mantellidae. The record is from RNAcentral.